UACACGACCGUACCGCAAACCGACACUGGUGCGCGAGAUGAGUAUUCUAAGGCGCUUGAGAGAACUCAGGAGAAGGAACUCGGCAAAUUGACACCGUAACUUCGGAAGAAGGUGUGCCUUUAGUAGGUGAACCAUUUACUUGGGGAGCCCAAUGAGGCUGCAAAAAAUCGGUGGCUGCAACUGUUUAUUAAAAACACAGCACUCUGCUAAGACGAAAGUCGACGUAUAGGGUGUGACGCCUGCCCGGUGCUGGAAGAUUAAAUGAUGGGGUGCAAGCUCUUGAUUGUAGUCCCAGUAAACGGCGGCCGUAACGAUAACGGUCCUAAGGUAGCGAAAUUCCUUGUCGGGUAAGUUCCGACCUGCACGAAUGGCGUAAUGAUGGCCACACUGUCUCCUCCUGAGACUCAGCGAAGUUGAAAUGUUUGUGAUGAUGCAAUCUCCCCGCGGAAAGACGGAAAGACCCCAUGAACCUUUACUGUAGCUUUGUAUUGGACUUUGAACAGAUCUGUGUAGGAUAGGUGGGAGGCUUUGAAGUGUGGUCGCUAGAUCGCAUGGAGCCAACGUUGAAAUACCACCCUGGUGUGUUUGAGGUUCUAACCUAGGUCCAUUAUCUGGAUCGGGGACAGUGCAUGGUAGGCAGUUUGACUGGGGCGGUCUCCUCCCAACGUGUAACGGAGGAGUUCGAAGGUACGCUAGGUACGGUCGGACAUCGUGCUAAUAGUGCAAUGGCAUAAGCGUGCUUAACUGCGAGACUGACAAGUCGAGCAGAUGCGAAAGCAGGACAUAGUGAUCCGGUGGUUCUGUAUGGAAGGGCCAUCGCUCAACGGAUAAAAGGUACUCUGGGGAUAACAGGCUGAUACCGCCCAAGAGUUCAUAUCGACGGCGGUGUUUGGCACCUCGAUGUCGGCUCAUCUCAUCCUGGGGCUGUAGCCGGUCCCAAGGGUAUGGCUGUUCGCCAUUUAAAGAGGUACGUGAGCUGGGUUUAAAACGUCGUGAGACAGUUUGGUCCCUAUCUUCCGUGGGCGCUGCAGAUUUGAGGAAGCCUGCUCCUAGUACGAGGGGACCGGAGUGGACGAACCUCUGGUGUAUCGGUUGUCACGCCAGUGGCAUUGCCGAGUAGCUAAGUUCGGAAGAGAUAACCGCUGAAAGCAUCUAAGCGGGAAACUCGUUUCAAGAUUAGAUCUGCCGGGGCCUUGAGCCCCCUAAAGAGUCGUUG
RNAcentral lists this ribosomal RNA (1216 nucleotides) under metagenome. RNAcentral describes it as "bacterial LSU rRNA". It matches the Rfam family "Bacterial large subunit ribosomal RNA", at positions 1635 to 2840 of the family's 2925-position model. The record is from RNAcentral.